AUUUCUUCUUCCCCCCCUGCCCAGAUCAAGAAACCGUGUCCUAGAAUCCACCGAGAUCGCUGGAAAGGCGACAUCCUCCGGAGACUCUUCUCGCUCCCCUCGUCGGCACGGAUCGAGCGGUUGUUUUAGUUGGAAGAUUUCUCCUUUCUUUUCCUUCUGGUCGCUGGCCGGAGACACGGCGUGUCGGGGCGCGCGGAGAUGGUGGCCGAGGCGGAGGUGAUGCAUCAGCAGCCGGCGCCCGUUCUGGAGGUGCAGUACCGCCGGUGCGUCGCCAAGGGGGCCGGGAUGUCGGCGGUCGCCGUGCCGGAGGUGGAGGUGGAGGUCGCCGUCGAGCUGCCUCGCAUGGGAUUGGCGAACACCGAUGGUGCGACGAGUGUGUCCGCUGAGACACUACAGUUUGUACCCAAUAUUCGGUCUGGAAGCUUUGCUGAUAUCGGACCUAGGAGGUACAUGGAAGAUGAACACAUCCGGAUAGAUGAUCUUUCAGCUCAUCUUGGCUCGCUGUUGGUGUGCCCACUACCUAGUGCCUUCUAUGGGGUCUUUGAUGGCCAUGGGGGUCCGGAUGCUGCAGCCUACAUGAAAAGGCAUGCCAUGAGGUUCCUGUUUGAGGAUAGAGAGUUCCCACAAGCAUUGCAAGUGGAUGAUGUAUUCCUUCAGUCCGUCGAGGAAUGCAUUCGCAGCGCGUUCUUGCAAGCCGAUCUUGCUCUGGCAGAUAAUUUAGACAUCAGCCGCUCCUCCGGAACUACCGCACUCGCAGCAUUAGUAUUUGGGAGGCAACUGUUGGUUGCGAACACCGGUGACUGCCGAGCGGUCCUUUGCCGGAGAGGCAUAGCGAUGGAGAUGUCUCGGGACCACAGGGCAAACUACGCCGAGGAGUGCGAGAGGGUGGCCGCCUCCGGCGGAUACAUCGAGGACGGGUACCUCAACGGGGUGCUCUCGUUGACGCGUGCCCUAGGCGACUGGGACAUGAAGGUGCCCGACUGCUCCACGUCGCCCCUCAUCGCGGAGCCCGAGUUCCAGCAGGCGACGCUGAGCGAGGACGACGAGUUCCUCAUCAUGGGCUGCGACGGCAUCUGGGACGUGAUGACGAGCCAGCACGCGGUGAGCGUGGUCCGGCGGGGCCUGCGGCAGCACGACGACCCCGAGCGGUGCGCGCGGGAGCUCGUCAUGGAGGCGAAGCGGCUCGAGACGGCCGACAACCUGACCGUCAUCGUGGUGUGCUUCGGGUCGGAGCUCGGGUCACCGCCGCCGCCCCCCGCUGCCGCGGCGGCGAGGCCGAGGAGCUGCAAGGGCCUGUCGGCGGAGGCCCUGUGCAACCUGAGGAGCUGGCUGGAGACUGACCGCUAGCUCUAGCUUGAGAUGCCUGCUCUGCUCCUGCUCCCCUACCUAGUGCUGCUGGUCGGUUCGUUCCCACGCUGUAAAUAUGCUGACAUCGGUCGAGGAAUCGUAACUGCCACUUCCCUUUUAGUCCCUACCAUUUUUUUCAGGCGGUAGCCCGGCAGUUUUGUAGGGGCAUUCUCCCAUUGUUUCCUGUGCUUUUCUCUCUCUGUUGCUGUUAUUGCUCACGCCAUUGCUGUUGUACAUAGUACUACAUGGUAGUACAUCCGUUGCGGCCACGGAUGGACCUGAUUUCCUCGAGCAACAUCUGCUGCUAUCUAACAGAAAUAUUCGGGGGGCUAUGGUCAACUCGAUUCAUCAG
RNAcentral lists this ribosomal RNA (1699 nucleotides) under Triticum aestivum (bread wheat). RNAcentral's name for it is "partial small subunit ribosomal RNA". The record is from RNAcentral. Lineage: Eukaryota; Viridiplantae; Streptophyta; Magnoliopsida; Poales; Poaceae.